UACGUAGGUGGCAAGCGUUGUCCGGAAUUAUUGGGCGUAAAGUGCGCGCAGGCGGUCCUUUAAGUCUGAUGUGAAAGCCCACGGCUCAACCGUGGAGGGUCAUUGGAAACUGGGGAACUUGAGUGCAGAAGAGAAAAGCGGAAUUCCACGUGUAGCGGUGAAAUGCGUAGAGAUGUGGAGGAACACCAGUGGCGAAGGCGGCUUUUUGGUCUGUAACUGACGCUGAGGCGCGAAAGCGUGGGGAGCAAACAGG
RNAcentral lists this ribosomal RNA (253 nucleotides) under uncultured bacterium. RNAcentral's name for it is "partial 16S ribosomal RNA". It matches the Rfam family "Bacterial small subunit ribosomal RNA", at positions 524 to 776 of the family's 1533-position model. The record is from RNAcentral.